UCCUCCAUAUUUUUUGGCCCAGAACAAUCUCAAACAAGGUCUAUUGACACAGUGCAGCCAAGAGGCUAUGAGCACCAUCAUUGCCAGGAGGCGCUGGAGAUGAAUUGGCCAUGUGCUUCGAAUGGAAACUGACUCCAUCACCAGAAUAGCAAUAAGAUGGACACCUGAAAGAAUAGCUGGGUCAUCAGGCAGAAAGCAAAAUUGCUUGUGUGCACACACAUAAAAGGAACAGUCAAGGGGAUACAGAGCCAGGGAACAAAGUCAGAAGAGAAAGCUAUCAAAGUGAGUGGCUUGGGGAAACUCACCUGCAAUGUUUGAUGUGGCUUGUUGAACAUCAGUUGUUCCCUUUUGAGGCAGCAGGAAGAAAGCAAAGGAGAGCUGUGACUGACACAGUCUGCAACCUGACACCGGUAGAAUGCACAGGUACAGGCCUCAACAGCUGGCUUUUUAGCCCCAGUUCAGUUUCCCAUCUGGUCAAAAGCUGCCACAUAAAGCUCAACAUGAAAGGCUGUUUGAAAACUUAAAUUAACAGGCUUUAUUUCUGACUCAAAGCAAUGGAGGCCCUGAAAAAAAAUCUGAGCAGAGCAAGAGGUGAGAUAAUAGCACAAAGAGAACCUCAAAGCUGAAGAAUUCCAUCUCAGAAUGUGUGCCAUUAAGGAAGGUGCAAGAAAUCCCCGCAAACAAAACAGGGUAUUCUGACAUGAUUGAGGUUGUUACCAUUAACUGGACUAUGCACCAGGCAGAAAAGUCUGCUCUAAAAAGAAACAACAUAGCUACUGGUGACACCUGCUAUCGAAAACAGUGGCCCCAUUUUAACUGCGCAUGGGCUGUUUUCAAAACUAACCACACAUACUGUUUGUUUCUUUGGCUCCUUAUACUUUUUUGGCUAAUGCCAUAACUAAUAAAUGCUUAAUAAUGCCUAUUUACCUACUCCACGGGGUUAUAAGGUUUAAGGCCCUGAUUCUGCAAACGUGUGUUUAUUUACUAAGUGAAAAUAAAGUGAAGCACAUGUA
Molecule: long non-coding RNA, 1013 nt
Organism: Dermochelys coriacea (leatherback sea turtle)
Lineage: Eukaryota; Metazoa; Chordata; Testudines; Dermochelyidae
Exons: 2
Source: RefSeq, a predicted model, not a curated record